RNAcentral lists this ribosomal RNA (253 nucleotides) under uncultured bacterium. RNAcentral describes it as "partial 16S ribosomal RNA". It matches the Rfam family "Bacterial small subunit ribosomal RNA", at positions 524 to 776 of the family's 1533-position model. The record is from RNAcentral.
UACGAAGUGGGCUAGCGUUGUUCGGAAUUACUGGGCGUAAAGCGCGCGCAGGCGGUCCUUCAAGUCAGAGGUGAGAGCCCAGAGCUCAACUCUGGAACGGCCUUUGAGACUAGAGGACUUGGGUACGGGAGAGGUGAGUGGAAUUCCGAGUGUAGAGGUGAAAUUCGUAGAUAUUCGGAAGAACACCAGUGGCGAAGGCGGCUCACUGGCCCGUUACCGACGCUCAGGCGCGACAGCGUGGGGAGCAAACAGG